GGCGGACGGGUGAGUAACGCGUAGGAAUCUACCCGGUAGUGGGGGACAACAUGGGGAAACUCAUGCUAAUACCGCAUACGCCCUAUGGGGGAAAGCGGGGGACCUUCGGGCCUCGCGCUAUCGGAAGAGCCUGCGUUGGAUUAGCUUGUUGGUGAGGUAAAGGCUCACCAAGGCGACGAUCCAUAGCUGGUCUGAGAGGAUGAUCAGCCACACUGGGACUGAGACACGGCCCAGACUCCUACGGGAGGCAGCAGUGGGGAAUAUUGCGCAAUGGGGGCAACCCUGACGCAGCCAUGCCGCGUGUGUGAAGAAGGC
Molecule: ribosomal RNA, 315 nt
Filed under: uncultured Oceanospirillales bacterium
Lineage: Bacteria; Pseudomonadati; Pseudomonadota; Gammaproteobacteria; Oceanospirillales
Description: bacterial SSU rRNA
Rfam family: Bacterial small subunit ribosomal RNA
Source: RNAcentral